This 495-nucleotide ribosomal RNA is filed under the name uncultured bacterium. Its description in RNAcentral is "partial 16S ribosomal RNA". It matches the Rfam family "Bacterial small subunit ribosomal RNA", at positions 28 to 507 of the family's 1533-position model. The record is from RNAcentral.
GACGAACGCUGGCGGCGUGCCUAAUACAUGCAAGUAGAACGCUGAAGAAGGAGCUUGCUUCUCUGGAUGAGUUGCGAACGGGUGAGUAACGCGUAGGUAACCUGCCUGGUAGCGGGGGAUAACUAUUGGAAACGAUAGCUAAUACCGCAUAAGAGUAGAUGUUGCAUGACAUUUGCUUAAAAGGUGCAAUUGCAUCACUACCAGAUGGACCUGCGUUGUAUUAGCUAGUUGGUGGGGUAACGGCUCACCAAGGCGACGAUACAUAGCCGACCUGAGAGGGUGAUCGGCCACACUGGGACUGAGACACGGCCCAGACUCCUACGGGAGGCAGCAGUAGGGAAUCUUCGGCAAUGGACGGAAGUCUGACCGAGCAACGCCGCGUGAGUGAAGAAGGUUUUCGGAUCGUAAAGCUCUGUUGUAAGAGAAGAACGAGUGUGAGAGUGGAAAGUUCACACUGUGACGGUAUCUUACCAGAAAGGGACGGCUAACUACGUG